Long non-coding RNA from Rhinopithecus roxellana (golden snub-nosed monkey), 1683 nucleotides. RefSeq lists it as uncharacterized. The record is from RefSeq and is a predicted model, not a curated record. Lineage: Eukaryota; Metazoa; Chordata; Mammalia; Primates; Cercopithecidae. The transcript has 3 exons.
GUGGGCCAGAGGAUAGGCAGGCUAGAAGAGCCGACUCCUACAGCUGCGAUCCGGGAGGUGCCUGAAACUGUUGCCCCCUGACUUCUAUCGCCCCCAUGGAGGCAAACAAAUCUGGGACAGGGAAUGGGUCUGGGAGAGAAGAUGAAAAGACUGAGGAUCAGAGAGGUGAGCAGUAGCUUUCCCAAGGGCUCAGAGCCAAGAAGCGUUGAAGCUUAAAGCACGCCGCGGCAGGGAAGAUCAAGCAAGCCCUGCGCCUAUCUGCAGAUUCAACAUCAUCCAUGUCAGGAACACGGUUUUGGACGUGACCCCAUUCCAGCCCCCUAGAGCCGGCAGAGAAGGACCACCCACUUCCAGCACGGCCAGGUCUGCAGUUCAGUCCUGGAGCCAGGGAAGGCUGCAUACACUCCCUGAAAGAUGAAACAACCCCAUACCUCUCGCCUCCUAUGCUGGCUCCAUUCUCAGUGCCUCAGACCAGAGCUGGGCCUGGUGAGGGCAUCCUGAAGGAGGAUGGGCCUGCCUGAGAGAGGAUAGAGGGACGGAGUUUGGAACACACUGAGUGGGUACAACCUGGCAGCCGGAACGGUGAGGCUCAGGCAGGGGAGAUGAUGGCCUCGUUGCCACAGAAGAGGCCUCGAGCCAUGCUGAGUGAGGCAGGUAGGGCAUGGGAGCUGGGAAGCAGUGGGGGCCCCUUGAGGUGCAGGGAGCUAGGAGGGAGGCAGCACAGGGGAGGCCAGGCUGGGCUCAGGGCUGAGCGGUAAUUAAAGGAGACGUAGGGGGCUCCCCAGGGCCAGCGGGGCUGGUAACUGACACGCGGGCCCCAUUGCUCCGCUCAUAUUUCUCGCUGGAUCGAUACGUUUGACUCCCGACAAGACAAUAAUCGCUUGUACGCGGCCGGCGAGUCGAUCAAAUACAUUAUUAGAGCGAGGUCCCCCGGGGGCCCAGCGGGGAGUGGUGGGGGGGAGCAGCCAGCCCACCGGGGACAGCAGAGCGAGAUUCUUCACCCCUUCAGGGCCCCCCAGCCGUGGCCUCUUCCUCUUGGCCACCCCUGGGGAUCCUCUCUGUGGCUCAGUUCCCCAGCCUCUCUCUAAAUGCCUGCUGCUUUGGCGAUCUCUCUACUCAGCCCCCAGCAUCAUCCUUGCUCUGUGAGGGGACCCAAGGGUUCUUUCCCCAUAGGCACUGCCCUCAUCUGUAGGGCUAUAGCAUGUAGGAGCUCAGAGAGGCCCCUCAGACCCCUAGCUUGUCAGGAGACAGAGAGACCAAGCCUCAGGCCACACUCCGAGUCCAUGGCUGGGCCAGGAGAUUAACUUGGGCCCAAGACUCAAUGACACCCACCUCCCUCUGCCCAGUCUCCUUGCUGCAUCUAAGCACACGGGGCUUCAGCAGCACCCAGGCCAGGGGCAACCUCUGGGGGUUAGGGAAAGCUAACUUAGAGACCCAAACAAGCAGGAAAACAGGAUGACAGGGGUGGCAGACAAACACAUACACAAAGAGAUGUGUGUCUGCUCCUGCUGCAGGGCCAUGUGGUCCCACAGUGGGCCUCAGAUACCCUCAAACCAUGCCCAGCUUCAGCUCUGGCCCACCCUAGACACUGCUUGCCACUCUUGCCCACUUUCCUGGCUUCUGGACUCAAGCCUAUUUCCCCUUUUUUAAAAAAUUAAAUUAAGCUUUAGCUUUAUUUUUAAA